This 371-nucleotide unclassified non-coding RNA is filed under the name Hevea brasiliensis (rubber tree). The record is from RNAcentral. Lineage: Eukaryota; Viridiplantae; Streptophyta; Magnoliopsida; Malpighiales; Euphorbiaceae.
ACACAACCUUUCUGAUUGAGCAAAUUUUGUCUAUCAAUUUUAUCAAUUGAGCAUUCAUGCCACUUUAUAUUUGUUGAAUUUCCAAUCCUUGACAAUGGGCUCUGAUUUUUCCCAUUGCUAGUAAACCCAUUUGCUAAAAUUGAACCCAAAGGCGACCCAUUUGGUUUAAGCGUAUCGAGCUUGGCCUUGCCAUUGCCAGUGGCAUUAACAUCCACUCUCACCGCCUGCUGUAACCCAUCCGCAGCAGUGAUUCGCAAAACGCUCCUCGCUUUCGCAUUACCUGGGAGAUAGCCGUCGCGCAAGGUUGCGAAUCCAGGCAGCGGCUUAAUUCCAACGGCAUUCAUCUCUCAAAUAAAUUAAUCAAACAAAAA